UAGGAAAUAAUAUAGAGGAAGUAUGGAGAGUUUUGAUCUCUUUCGCGUAGGUUCGAUUCCUACUUUUCUAAAUUUUGAUUUCUUAGGAAAUGAGAGGGCUGGUAUACCUCUAUGUUCACUUUAUCAUAGUGACCCUUUAACGUUCAGGCACAUUUCCUUAAGUAAGGAGGCAGGCCUGCGUAGCAGAUUGGUAUGCUAGUGUGUCAAAGGCAUAGUGCAAGUGUGAGUGGUAGAAAGUUUUUUCAUAAUAGGUGCAUAAGCUGGUCGUAGCGGAAUCGUGGAUAUGAGGCACGAAUUCAUAGGAAGCCUGAGGAGAGGAGUAAGACUUUUAUAGCUAGAGCUACGGGGAAUAAUUCUUGUGGGAGGUUGAGUGAGCUUGGGUUCAGGAAUAAGAUGGUAGUUAAUGUAUUUAUUAAUAUGAUGUUAGCAUAUUCAGCUAGAAAGAAUAGGGCGAAUGGUCCAGCGGCAUAUUCUACAUUGAAGCCAGAUACUAGUUCUGACUCUCCUUCUGUGAGGUCAAAUGGAGCACGGUUUGUUUCAGCUAGUGUUGAGAUAUAUCAUAUUAUUGCGAGGGGUCAUGAAGAGAAAAUGAGGUAUAAAGGUUCUUGGGU
RNAcentral lists this transfer RNA (611 nucleotides) under Synthliboramphus antiquus (ancient murrelet). RNAcentral describes it as "tRNA-Gln". The stretch from base 1 to 71 matches the Rfam family "tRNA". The record is from RNAcentral. Lineage: Eukaryota; Metazoa; Chordata; Aves; Charadriiformes; Alcidae.